GGAAGUAAAAGUCGAACAAGGUUUCCGUAGGUGAACCUGCGGAAGGAUCAUUAUUGUAUAACCGAGGUGCGAGGGCUGUCGCUGACCCGAAAGGUCGUGCACGCCCGAGUGCCCUCACACACAUCCAUCUCACCCCUAUGUGCACCACCGCGUGGGUCCCCCUUUGGCUUGUUCGGAGGGGGGCUUACGUUUUCACACAAACUUUGUAUGCAGUGUAGAAUGUAUUCUUUGUUUUUGCGAUCACGCAAUCAAUACAACUUUCAACAACGGAUCUCUUGGCUCUC
RNAcentral lists this unclassified non-coding RNA (284 nucleotides) under plant metagenome. RNAcentral describes it as "partial contains small subunit ribosomal RNA, internal transcribed spacer 1, and 5.8S ribosomal RNA". The stretch from base 1 to 53 matches the Rfam family "Eukaryotic small subunit ribosomal RNA", at positions 1778 to 1831 of the family's 1831-position model. The record is from RNAcentral.